This 253-nucleotide ribosomal RNA is filed under the name uncultured bacterium. Its description in RNAcentral is "partial 16S ribosomal RNA". It matches the Rfam family "Bacterial small subunit ribosomal RNA", at positions 524 to 776 of the family's 1533-position model. The record is from RNAcentral.
UACGGAGGGUGCGAGCGUUAAUCGGAAUUACUGGGCGUAAAGCGCACGUAGGUGGCGACGUAAGUCGGGUGUGAAAGCCCCGGGCUCAACCUGGGAAUUGCAUUCGAGACUGCAUUGCUGGAGUACGGAAGAGGAAGGCGGAAUUCCCGGUGUAGCGGUGAAAUGCGUAGAUAUCGGGAGGAACAUCAGUGGCGAAGGCGGCCUUCUGGUCCAGUACUGACACUCAAGUGCGAAAGCGUGGGGAGCAAACAGG